UUUCAGCUCAGCUGUGGGUUUAUAUGUCUAACAUUUAACCUAUUAUUUUUUAUGAUUAAUACUUUUAUAGUUAUUAGAUGAUAAAACAUUAAUGGUAAUAAUAUUUUAUGUGUGAUUUAUAUUUUAAAUUUUUAUAAACUUUUUAAAUAUGACGGAUGAUUAAAUGUUGAACACGGAAACUGACAGAUACACAUAAA
RNAcentral lists this microRNA precursor (197 nucleotides) under Oryza glumipatula. RNAcentral describes it as "MIR812 microRNA precursor family". It matches the Rfam family "MIR812 microRNA precursor family". Lineage: Eukaryota; Viridiplantae; Streptophyta; Magnoliopsida; Poales; Poaceae. The record is from Rfam by way of RNAcentral.